UAAUGUUGUGAUGAUGGGAAAAAUGUUCAACUGUUCUGAGUUGGCUGAAUGAAAACUGGCCUUUCCGAACAUCC
Molecule: small nucleolar RNA, 74 nt
Organism: Jaculus jaculus (lesser Egyptian jerboa)
Lineage: Eukaryota; Metazoa; Chordata; Mammalia; Rodentia; Dipodidae
Product: small nucleolar RNA Z40
Exons: 1
Source: RefSeq, a predicted model, not a curated record